Ictalurus punctatus (channel catfish) is the source of this 2542-nucleotide long non-coding RNA. Lineage: Eukaryota; Metazoa; Chordata; Actinopteri; Siluriformes; Ictaluridae. The record is from Ensembl.
UGCAGCUGUAUACUUAAAUAGAGGAAUAGAAACAGCAGGGGAUUUAUCGAUAAAGGUCUGUUACCGAUAAAGAACUGUGCUACUGUUUCUGAAGCUCCUGUACAUAUUCUGCAGACAAUGUUUCAAGUACAGGGCAAGUAUACCCUAAAUGACCAUUUUAAUAGGAACACUCGUGCUCAUGGUGACUUUGACCAUGGCAUGGUGGUUGGUGCCAGAUGGUCUGGUUUUAGUAUUUGAGAAACCUGAGCUGCUUGAAGAUUCUAGUGAUUACAGAGAUGGUGUGAAAAGCAAAAGACAUGCAGUGAGUGAAAGUUCUGCAGGUGCAAACGCCUUGCUGGUGAGAGAGGUCAGAGGAGAAUGGCCAGACUGAUUGGAGCUGACAGGAAGGCUAAGAUAAAUAACCACUCUUUGCAACCGGGGUGAGCAGAAAAAUCAUCUAAGGAAGCACAACAGAUCAAACCUUGAGGCGGAUACAACAGCAGAAGACUACAUUAGCAGAAGACUACAGAGCUGCACUUCUUUGUCACGCACUGAGGACUGGUAGCCUGGCAUUCUCUGGCUGAUCAAGAACAGGAUGUUCUGUGAGACGAGAUAAGCUGCAAUGCAGGGAAAGGUCUGUCCUAAAAGUUUCCCGUUUCUUUUCACCACACUGGAUAUAACUGCUACUUAUAAAUAGUGCCAUUACAGCAUAAUAAAAAAUAGGAGUGCAUACAUACACCCUCUGAAAAUAUUGGAACAGCAUGGCCAAUUCUAUUUUUUGUGCUAUACACCAAAGACAUUUGGGUUUGAGAUCAAAAGAUGGAUAUGAUACAAGAGUUUAGGAUUUCAGCUUUUGUUUCCUGGUAUUUACAUCUAGAUGUGUUAAACAAUAUAAAACAUUGAACCUUUUGUAUCAGACCACCAAAAUUUUUAGGCGAGCAAAAGUAUAGGAACAGAUAAGACUUGACGUAAAUAACACUUAAUAUUGCAUAUCCCUUGCUUGCAGUAAUAGCAUCAAGCCUACGACUUGCCACUGAAAUCGCCAUAUUGUUGGUUUCUUCUUUUGUGUUGCUUUUACCGCAACUCCCUUAAGUCUCCUCUUCAAGUCAAAUACAUGCUCAAUUGGGUUAAUGUCUGGUUAUUGACAUAUCAGUCUAAAACUUUCCACUUUUCCCCCUGAUAAAAUCGUUUGUUAAGUUGGAGUGUUUUGGAACAUUGUCUUUGUGCAUGAUAAAGUUCCUCUUUAAUUAAUUUGGAUGCAUUUCUCUGUAAACUUUUCCUGUAAACAUCUGAAUUCAUUCUGCUGCUAAAAUCAUGAGUUAUAUAAUCAAUAAAGAUUAGUGAGCCUGGUCUAGAAGCAGGCAUGCAAGCCCAAGCCAUAACACUACCUCCACUGUGAUUCACUGAUGAGCUUGUAUGUUUUGGAUCAUGAGCAGAUCCUUUCUUUCAAGACAUUCCAAAUUGUUGUAUUGGCUAUGCUCAAUGUCUUGUGCAAUCGCUCUGAUAGAUUUGAUCUCUUUUCUCAGCUUCAAAAUGGCUUGCUUUUCUCCCAUAGACAGCUCUCUGAUCUUCAUGCUGGUUUGUCGUUUUAAACAACAAAUGCCAUUUUCAUCAGAGAAACCUUGGGCUCAAACUGAAGGUAGACAUUCAGAGCUAUUAAUUCUUGAAACAAUCAAUUUAACAGGGUAGACCUGGGCAGCAAGAAACACCUGUCAGUCAUAAUGUUCCAAUAUUUCUGAUCACUUGAAAAAAUGCGUUGGUUCAAUACAAAAUCUGCCAUGUCCUAAGUUUUUUAACAUAUCUAGAUCUAAAUAUGAGGAAAUGACAGAUCAGAAUUUGAGCUUUCAUCUCAUAUUCAACAUUUGAUCUCAAACCAAAUGUAUAGCAAAAAAUAUAAUUGGCCUUGCUGUUCCAAUACUUUCGGAAGGGACUGUACACAGUCAGCUUUAGAAAUGAUUGGGCCCUUGGUAAAGCUGGAUUGUUUUUUUUGUUGUGUGUGUUUGUUUUUUUUUGUUUUGUUUUUUAGAUUAUUUUAGAUUUACUUUGAGGGGGAAAUCAUUUUCUGUAUGUUUAUUAUCAGAAUUUUUUUUAAACCUUAUCUCAGGAUGCUUGAUGAGACCAGAGAAUACAGAGAAAAAGAAUCUGAGAUGACUCCUUAAUACACACUCACUCCAGAUACUCCUAAGUCUCUUCUAAACUCUCCUCUUCAGCUCACCCCACAAAUUUUUUAAUGGGGUUUAUGUCAGGGAACUGGAAUGGUCAAGUUGGAAGCUUAGGUCUGUGGUCAUUGAACCAUUUUUGUGUGUAUUUGGAUGCAUGAUUUUGAAUCACUGUCCUGCUGGAAUAACCAACCACAAAAUGUUUACCUCUCUAAGCAUGCUUCUCACUGUGCAUGAGGAUUCUAAUUAUAAAAAUAUAAUGCUAUUCUUGCUCAUGUUGAUGAGUGAUGUUGAUAUAGUGAAUUAUCGUAUUUAUCUAUCUAUAUAUCUAUCUAUCUAUCUAUAUAUAUCUAUCUAUCUAUCUAUCUAUCUAUAUAUAUAUAUAUAUAUAUAUAUAUAUAUAU